AGGAGGACACGAAAGAUGAUGAUGAGGAGGAAUGGCUUCAAGAGAACUCCGUGACUGGCUCUGGUGUCCAUGGCAACACAACACCAAGUGACAGACACGCACAGAGGCUGGAGGAGGCCCUCCUGGAGAGAGCCAAAGACACGUAGGGAGCUGUGGUCGCAGGCCCACCCGGUGACGCUGCGGUUCCGCGAUGGCUCACGGGAGGCGCGGUACCAGCGGCGCCACGACCUGCAGACGGUGUACAGCAUGGCCGCCAUGUGUGUGGUGCUGGCGAUGACCACCGCCGCACAGCUCUGCGUCCUG
Long non-coding RNA from Pomacea canaliculata, 303 nucleotides. RefSeq lists it as uncharacterized. NCBI's taxonomy places the organism in Eukaryota, Metazoa, Mollusca, Gastropoda, Architaenioglossa, Ampullariidae. The transcript is spliced from 3 exons. The record is from RefSeq and is a predicted model, not a curated record.